AUCUUACGAUCACAUAAAACUCUCAAUAACGGUUUUAAAUAAUGGUGAAAAAUAAAGGAUAUUUUCAAUUUAUUAUUUUCCUUAUUCUUGUUAGGAUAGGUGGAAAAUAAAGAGGGAAAGCAAAAUAUAGUUAUUUUCCCUUGUUUGGGAAGACAUAAAGUGAAAAGAAAAUAAUUAUAUUUUCAUGGAUUUCUCAUUAUGCCCUUACUUUUUUUCUUAUUUUUUAUAUAGGGGUAUACAUGUAAUUUCAAAAUAAAAGUAAACCUUCCAUAAAUUUCUUUCUUAUUCUCUCCAAAUUGGGGAGAAAAUAUAUAAUAGGAAAAUAAAGGUUAUUUUCCCUCUUUUAUUUUCUCCUCUAUUUCCAAA
This 366-nucleotide unclassified non-coding RNA is filed under the name Hevea brasiliensis (rubber tree). The record is from RNAcentral. Lineage: Eukaryota; Viridiplantae; Streptophyta; Magnoliopsida; Malpighiales; Euphorbiaceae.